This 25-nucleotide unclassified non-coding RNA is filed under the name Mus musculus (house mouse). RNAcentral describes it as "oocyte_clustered_small_RNA9844". The record is from RNAcentral. Lineage: Eukaryota; Metazoa; Chordata; Mammalia; Rodentia; Muridae.
GGCUGAAACACGUGGCAGCUCUUGG